CCUACGGGAGGCAGCAGUGAGGAAUAUUGGUCAAUGGACGAGAGUCUGAACCAGCCAAGUAGCGUGAAGGAUGACUGCCCUAUGGGUUGUAAACUUCUUUUAUAUGGGAAUAAAACGUUCCACGUGUGGGAUUUUGUAUGUACCAUAUGAAUAAGGAUCGGCUAACUACGUGCCAGCAGCCGCGGUAAUACGGAGGAGCCGAGCGUUAUCCGGAUUUAUUGGGUUUAAUAGGAGCGUAGGUGGAUUGUUAAGUCAGUUGUGAAAGUUUGCGGCUCAACCGUAAAAUUGCAGUUGAAACUGGCAGUCUUGAGUACAGUAGAGGUGGGCGGAAUUCGUGGUGUAGCGGUGAAAUGCUUAGAUAUCACGAAGAACGCCGAUUGCGAAGGCAGUUCACUGGACUGCAACUGACACUGAGGCUCGAAAGUGUGGGUAUCAAACAGGAUUAGAUACCCGAGUAGUC
RNAcentral lists this ribosomal RNA (460 nucleotides) under uncultured bacterium. Its description in RNAcentral is "partial 16S ribosomal RNA". It matches the Rfam family "Bacterial small subunit ribosomal RNA", at positions 338 to 795 of the family's 1533-position model. The record is from RNAcentral.